GAUGAAGAACGCAGCGAAAUGCGUUAAGUAAUGUGAAUUGCAGAAUUCAGUGAAUCAUCGAAUCUUUGAACGCACAUUGCGCCCGCCAGUAUUCUGGCGGGCAUGCCUGUUCGAGCGUCAUUACAACCCUCAGGCCCCCGGGCCUGGCGUUGGGGAUCGGCGGAGCCCCCCGUGGGCACACGCCGUCCCCCAAAUGCAGUGGCGGUCCCGCCGCAGCUUCCAUCGCGUAGUAGCUAACACCUCGCGACUGGAGAGCGGCGCGACCACGCCGUAAAACACCCAACUCUUCUGAAGUUGACCUCGAAUCAGGUAGGAAUACCCGCUGAACUUAAGCAUAUCAAUAAGCGGAGGA
This 352-nucleotide unclassified non-coding RNA is filed under the name soil metagenome. RNAcentral describes it as "partial contains 5.8S ribosomal RNA, internal transcribed spacer 2, and large subunit ribosomal RNA". The stretch from base 1 to 120 matches the Rfam family "5.8S ribosomal RNA", at positions 35 to 154 of the family's 154-position model. The record is from RNAcentral.